Molecule: ribosomal RNA, 468 nt
Filed under: uncultured bacterium
Lineage: Bacteria
Description: partial 16S ribosomal RNA
Rfam family: Bacterial small subunit ribosomal RNA
Source: RNAcentral
GACGAACGCUGGCGGCGUGCUUAACACAUGCAAGUCGAACGGAAAGGCCCUGCUUUUGUGGGGUGCUCGAGUGGCGAACGGGUGAGUAACACGUGAGUAACCUGCCCUUGACUUUGGGAUAACUUCAGGAAACUGGGGCUAAUACCGGAUAGGAGCUCCUGCUGCAUGGUGGGGGUUGGAAAGUUUCGGCGGUUGGGGAUGGACUCGCGGCUUAUCAGCUUGUUGGUGGGGUAGUGGCUUACCAAGGCUUUGACGGGUAGCCGGCCUGAGAGGGUGACCGGCCACAUUGGGACUGAGAUACGGCCCAGACUCCUACGGGAGGCAGCAGUGGGGAAUAUUGCGCAAUGGGCGGAAGCCGGAUGCAGCAACGCCGCGUGCGAGAUGACGGCCUUCGGGUUGUAAACCGCUUUCGCCUGUGACGAAGCGUGAGUGACGGUAAUGGGUAAAGAAGCAACGGCUAACUACGUG